GGCGGUUCUCGGGUGACACACCCCGGAAUUGGGCUCCCUCCUCUCUGGUUCCAGGUGCACCACCCAAGAACCACU
Molecule: non-coding RNA, 75 nt
Organism: Myotis lucifugus (little brown bat)
Lineage: Eukaryota; Metazoa; Chordata; Mammalia; Chiroptera; Vespertilionidae
Source: Rfam